UCAACAUGUGUGAGUGCACCUUCACCAAUCCCACAAAUGCCUCUGCUCUCACGAAUUUAUUACCCUUGGGAGAGCCUCAGCAAGACAGUACUUGAUGUAUUGGAAGCAGACAAUGUUCUGCUUCCCUCUCAACGACAGGAAGUGGCACACAUGGCAGCGUCAUGGCCCUGCAUAUCCAUUGAAGGUGGGAGGCACUCCUGAUAUUUAUUCACAGGCACCUGGUUGGUAUCAUUGAGAACGAAGGGAGCCAGCAGCCAUAAAAAAAUCAAGAGGGCUACAUACAUAAAUGCGUGAGGCAGUGAGGGCAGCAGAUGAAUAUAGCAAGAAGUGGGAACAUCUCAUGUGAUACAUAGCGGUCAAAUGUUCCGCCACCAAAGUCAUGCACAAGUUAUUUGUAGUCUUUCCAGUAAUUUCCAAAAUAAAGGGUUAUUAUUGAAAAGCUAUCCUCUCUGGACACACAAAACAUGAGAAUUGAACAAUUAACAAUGAAACAAAAUCUCUGGACAUCUCGC
Molecule: long non-coding RNA, 512 nt
Organism: Ornithodoros turicata
Lineage: Eukaryota; Metazoa; Arthropoda; Arachnida; Ixodida; Argasidae
Exons: 3
Source: RefSeq, a predicted model, not a curated record